Molecule: long non-coding RNA, 458 nt
Filed under: Salmo salar (Atlantic salmon)
Lineage: Eukaryota; Metazoa; Chordata; Actinopteri; Salmoniformes; Salmonidae
Description: lncRNA (ENSSSAG00000117754.1)
Source: RNAcentral
AAAGGAGAGAGGAGAGAGGCUAAAGUAGAGAGGAGAGAGGCUAAAGUAGAGAGGAGAGAUGCUAAAGUAGAGAGGAGAAAGGCUAAAGUAGAGAGGAGAGAUGCUAAAGUAGAGAGGAGAGAGGCUAAAGUAGAGAGGAGAGAGGCUAAAGUAGAGAGGAGAGAGGAGAGAGGCUAAAGUAGAGAGGAGAGAGGAGAGAGGCUAAAGUAGAGAGGAGAGAGGAGAGAGGCUAAAGUAGAGAGGAGAGAGGAAAGAGGCUAAAGUAGAGAGGAGAGAGGCUAAAGGAGAGAGGAGAGAGGAGAGAGGAGAGAGGCUAAAGGAGAGAGGAGAGAGUGGAGAGGCUAAAGGAGAGAGGAGAGAGGAGAGAGGGUAAAGGAGAGAGGAGAGUGGCUAACGGAGAGAGGAGAGAGCAGAGAGGCUAAAGGAGAGAGGAGAGAGAGCAGAGAGGCUAAAGGAGA